RNAcentral lists this ribosomal RNA (492 nucleotides) under uncultured bacterium. RNAcentral's name for it is "partial 16S ribosomal RNA". It matches the Rfam family "Bacterial small subunit ribosomal RNA", at positions 29 to 507 of the family's 1533-position model. The record is from RNAcentral.
AGUGAACGCUGGCGGUAGGCCUAACACAUGCAAGUCGAACGGCAGCACAGUAAGAGCUUGCUCUUACGGGUGGCGAGUGGCGGACGGGUGAGGAAUACAUCGGAAUCUACUUUUUCGUGGGGGAUAACGUAGGGAAACUUACGCUAAUACCGCAUACGACCUACGGGUGAAAGCAGGGGAUCUUCGUACCUUGCGCGUUUGAAUGAGCCGAUGUCGGAUUAGCUAGUUGGCAGGGUAAAGGCCCACCAAGGCGACGAUCCGUAGCUGGUCUGAGAGGAUGAUCAGCCACACUGGAACUGAGACACGGUCCAGACUCCUACGGGAGGCAGCAGUGGGGAAUAUUGGACAAUGGGCGCAAGCCUGAUCCAGCCAUACCGCGUGGGUGAAGAAGGCCUUCGGGUUGUAAAGCCCUUUUGUUGGGAAAGAAAAGCAGCAGGUUAAUACCCCGCUGUUCUGACGGUACCCAAAGAAUAAGCACCGGCUAACUUCGUG